CUCCGGGCCGGCGGGCGGGGCUGAGCGGCGGGCGAUGGCGGCAGAGCGGGGCCCUGCGGCCCCCCGGGGCGGGUGGGUGCUGCUCGCCCGCCGCCUGAUGGCUGGCGGGUGAGGGGCGAGAGAACCAACGGCUGCUAGGACUUCAGCAGGGCCUUUGGUACGGUUCCCCCGUUGCAUCAUCUCCUGCAGGGGCUGGCAGCACGGACAGUUAUGUUGAUUAAAUUAUUUAGAAGGGUUAAAUUACAUGGUGGAAAGCUGCAGGGGACCAUGCACCUGGUGUGCCCCUGGGCAGAAACGUGAAGCAUCCUUAAGCAUGGAGAACUUCAUUCUCUAUGAAGAGAUAGGAAGAGGAAACAAGACAGUUGUUUAUAAAGGAAGAAGAAAGGGGACAAUUAAUUUUGUUGCAAUUCUUUGCACUGAUAAAUGCAAAAGAGCUGAAAUAACAAACUGGGUUCGUCUGACUCAUGAAAUCAGACACAAGAAUAUAGUGACAUUCCAUGAAUGGUAUGAAACAAGCAACCAUCUCUGGCUUGUAGUGGAAUUGUGCACAGGUGGUUCUCUAGAAUCUCUUAUUGCUCAAGAUGAACAUCUACCUGAAGACGUAGUGAGAGAAUUUGGUGUAGACUUGAUUACUGGUUUACACCACAUUCAUAAUCUUGGAAUUAUCUUCUGUGAACUGACACCUGGAAAGAUCCUGCUGGAAGGACGUGGUAGUUUGAAAUUCAGUAAUUUUUGCUUGGCGAAAGCAGAUGGUGAAAAUCUGGAAGAGCUUUUUGAUUUAAUUUCCUCUGAAGAACCAGGAGGAGAUGUCAGUGAAGGCACUCCACAAAGAUGCGUGAAAGACAGAUUUCGAGGCAACCCAGUAUACAUGGCUCCAGAAGCAAUAAAGGGAGAAGACUUUUCCAAAUCCAGCGAUCUGUGGUCCUUGGGAUGUUUACUUUAUGAAAUGUUUUCAGGAAGACCACCAUUCUUCUCAGACAACUCCUCUGAGUUAGUUGAAAAGAUUCUGUAUGAAGAUCCACUGCCACCUAGACCAGCGGGUUCUGCUUCCCAGAAACCUUCUGCAGACUUCAUUAGUUUACUUGAUGGCUUGCUUCAAAAGGAUCCUCAAAAGAGGUUGAAUUGGACAGACCUGUUGCAGCACCCAUUCUGGAAAGGCUCUCUUGGCCACUGCGAUGGUGAUUCUGCAGACAGCCAGGGACCAAGCUUAAGCAAUGAGGACGCAGUAUCAUCUGUGUCUUGGAAUACCAAGGAGCCAGAAGGAGCUUAUAAAAAUCUGUCAUCUUCUACAGUGGAUAUUAAGCUACAAAGAAAUUCCUUCAAAAUAGUAGAAAAUCCAGCUGAGCUGCGCCCCAAAAAUGUAGUUGAUGGUGAAUUAAAUGAAUCCAUAUUUCUUCUCAGUUCUCGUCCUACUCCUAGAACCAGCGUUACAGUAGAAGUAAGUGAUGUUACUACUGCCCCAAUCCAAAAUUCUCAUCAAAGAGAUUCAUGCUUGACAAAGGAUAAAAAUAGGUGCUCAAGUCAGCAGGAUAUGGAGUCAACAUUGAAAGAGCUCAUUUACACUGAAUCUGAUCUUAUCGUGACACCAAUCAUUGACAAUCCAAAGAUAAUGAAGCAAGUGCCAGUCAGAUUUGACUUGAAAACUUUAUCUAUACCAGCAUAUUCAGCUGAGAAGUUAUCGUCUAUGAAAGACGUGGACUGGAAUGACUUCUUGCAACAAGCAACUUCAUUGCUUGAUUCCACUGAGAAAAAUGCAGGAGCAGCACGUUCUAAACUGAAUUUACUCUAUUACCUGUGUACUGUGGCUGUCCACAAGGAAGUUGCAAGUCGGCUGGUUAACUCUCACCUGUUUCCAGUGUUAAUACAGCAGCUGCGUGCAGCCGCCAACUGGGAUAUACGUGCUAAAGUUGCUCGGGUGAUUGCUUUACUGGCAUUACACACAUCUGAACUCAGAGAAAAUGUACCUGUUUCUGAGGCAAUUAUACUUCUAACUGAACUCAUCAGAGAGAACUUCAGGAAUAGCAAAUUGAAACAAUGCCUUUUACCAGCACUUGGGGAGCUUCUUUACCUCGUAGCCAGUGAGGAAGAAAAAAAAGAGCACCCCAGAGAAUGGUUGGUUGUUCCCUCAGCAGCUUACACUGUGCUAAUGAGGUGUCUUCGGGAAGGGGAAGACCGAGUAGUGAACCAUUUGGCAGCAAAGAUCAUUGAAAAUGUUUGCACUACUCUCUCUUGCUAUGCACAAGGAUUUAUUACAGGAGAAAUUGGACCUGUCUUAUGGUACCUUUUCACACAUUCUACAGUAGAUUCUUUGAAGAUAACUGCUAUUUCGGCUUUAUGCAGAAUUACUCGGUGUUCACCCAGUGCUUUCCAGAGCGUCAUUGAAAAAGUGGGAUUAACAGCUGUCCUGAAUUCCUUGGCAACUGGAAUAUGCAAAAUUCAGCAGUACAUGCUCACCAUGUUUUCUGCAAUGUUGUCAUGCGGGAUUCAUCUGCAGAGGCUGAUUCAAGAAAAGGAAUUUGUGACUACAAUUACACGUUUACUUGAAAGUCCUUCAACUUUCAUACGAGCAAAAGCCUUUCUGGUCCUGUUACAAGUUUUAAUUAAUAACAGGGAGAUGUUGCUACUCAGUUGUCAAGCAAGACUUGUGAUGUAUAUUGAAAGAGACAGCAGAAAGACCACACCAGGAAAAGAGCAGCAAAGCGGCAAUGAAUACCUGUCAAAAUGCCUGGAUCUUCUCAUCUAUCACAUUGUGCAGGAGCUGCCAGGAAUUCUAGGUGACAUUCUCAAUGCCUUAACAAAUGUCUCUGGACGCAAACACCCAUCAACGCUUCAGGCCAAACAGCUGAAGAUGUGCCUUCCCAUGAUGCCUGUAGUACUUCAUCUAGUGACAUCCCAGGUAUUUCGUCCCAGGAUAGUCACAGAGGAGUUUCUUUUCAACUAUGGGACCUUACUUAAUUUUAUCCGAUCGAUAGAUUCAGGAGAAACCAACUUGGAUGGAGCAAUAGGACCAGCUGCAUCAGAAGAAUUGAUUAAGACUACUUUAGCAACAUUUGAAGCAGUAACACAGCAUCCUGUCUUGUUGACAAGCCAUCGCACGACAGUUGAAGACUGCGUUCUCCCACCACUAGUUUCUUUGGUCCAUGGUCAGAAUGUGGAAUGGAGACUCUUCAGCUUGCGGUUGCUCUCAGAAACCACAUCACUGCUCUUAAGCCACGAGGUCAUGGCUGAGGAGAAAGGGGAGAGCCUCGACUCAAACAGCAAGCUUCUGUCUCUCAUUAGAGAUUCCUUGCUGCCUCAGUAUGAGUACAUUCUGAUGGCUCCAGACCCAGUACCAGUGUAUGCUCUGAAACUGCUAGUGGCCUUGACUGAACACAGCCCCGCUUCUGUGAGCUUUGUGGAAGAAAACCAUCUUUUUCCAGCUCUUUUCCAAGUCAUUUUGGAACACCAAGACAAUAUACUAGGAAAUACAAUGCAAACUGCAGUUGCCUUACUGAAUAACGUGGUUGCUAACAAAAGCACAAACAUGAUGCUACUCUUCACAGAAGUAUAAAAUAUAUGGCAUACUCCAGAAGGAAAAGGAAGAAGUUUGUGUAGAGAGAGAAGAAACAGCUGUGUCUCUUCUGAAGCCAAAAGGAAACCUUUUGAAAGUCUCUAGGAAAAGAUUGAGAAGAUCCACUCUGAAGUUGGUGGUGUGAGACUCAUAGGGCCAGAAGAAAAGGAAAAUGUAAUUGAGUUGGAGAGGGAUGGUUUGUAUGUUUCUGAUUACUUGGUUGUUUCUCAGUAAAGUGCCUGUUACCCUUGAAACUGCUUGGAGUUUAUUGGAGGUGAGAUGUGUCUAUUGCUUUUUCUUUCUUUGGGCACAUCUCCUGUGUGUUGGGCUAGCACUGAUCUAAUCCUAAACUAGUGCUGGUCUGAGCUGCAGCAGGAUCACAGAAUCAUCUAGUUUCUUGCAAGAGACUUCCAAGAUCACCAAGUCCAACCUCUGACCUAACACUAACAAGUCCUCAAGGAUAACUUCUUAAAACAGCACAAUGAUAUACAAAGAAGUUAGCUCACGUGUGCCUUACUCAAAAUAAUAUGCUCUGUCUUUCUGCAUGGCAAAACUAUUCAACAGCAUAGCAAAACUGAACCCAUUCUGUAAACAUCUCCCCUUUAUUGUCCUACUAAGUCAACUCCCUUAUGCUUUUUAUGCUGGUAGUAUGUCAGUGCUCUUCCACUUCUCAUCUGCUCCUAAAUAAAAUGCAUCUCUUCCAUCAUGAUAGUUUCCAAAUCAAAGAAGUGGGGUAGCAACAUUAUUAAAGUCUUUUAUCAUUUUCAAGUGCUAUGUCAUAAAUAACUUCAGUAAUGUUUUCAGACUAUUAGUGAUUGGAUAACUCUAACUUGGGCUCACUGAACUUCAUCAUCCUAACUAGGAAAAACAGCACAGCAGCCAAAAACAAUUUAUCUGAAGUAAAAUAUCGCUAUCUUCUCCUAUCCCUUUUACCAAUGGGUUAAUCUUCAGAGUACUGAAAAUGCGGGUUGUAGCCAUUGCUUUGUUUAUUAAGGGCCUAACUGUCAAGUGCAUAACUUCUGAAAUUUGGUUUUUAGAAAUGUUAUGAAGGUAUUGAUUUUGUAAUUGUAGCCUGUAAGGCUUUCUUCAAACAAAACUAGGAGAAACGUUAUUCUGCCCAAACUGGAAGUCUUUUUAUCCUUUUCCUUGCUAGCCAUAAAUAUAUGGGGUUCACUACAAGAAAAUAUCUUAAACUUUCUCUGCCGCCAUCUUUGAUGUUCAGCUUUGUCAUUUUUGAAUGACUCUAGUGUAAGGGAGAAGAGUGUGAUCCAGUGAAAUGGCCACUAAGCUCCCUCUUGCAGAAAAGGAUCUUGGGGACCAAAUGAAAAAGUUGAACUUAGGUCAGCAGUGUGCCUUUGCAGCAAUAAGGGCAAAAGUGAACUACAAGAAGAAAGAAUAAAUGGAAGGUCAAGGGAAGUGAUUGUUCUCUAUUCUUGUGAGAUUGUGUCUGGAAUGCUGUUUUCAGUUUUGGGCUCCAAACUACAAGGCAAACAGGAGCCAAGUCUAGAGGAGAACCGCCAGGGUGGGUAGGAGUGUUGAAUACACUGUGUGUGUAUUUGCAGCCUCUGCCUGUAGCAUUACCUGAAGUUAUUCCUUCCCAAGUGCAGAACGUUGUAUUUGCCUUUGUUGAACAUCAAAGAGGCUUUUGGCAGGCUGCUUCUUGAGCUCUUUCUAAUUGUUGGCUCAACCUUUCACUGCAUCAACUGCUUGCCUCAUUUCAAUGUCAUCUGCAAACUUGCUGAAGGUGCAUGUUAUUCCGUUGUAUUAAUGCUCUCUGUCCAGGCUGUUAAUGAAGGUAUUCAACAUUCAUGAGCUGUUCUGCUGCCUAAGAAAAAUGCUGAAGUAUUAUGGGACAUCAGUUUCCCUUAUUCUCCUAUUACAGUGUGAUGAUUGAUUGGUGUAUAUGUGGAGCUUUAGAAAUUAAAAAUCUUAAAUACAUGAUAAAUGUUAUAAGGAGAUCAUGUUAAGGGGUCAGUCCUGUCAAGUUAUUUAGUUUCCAAGAGUCCAGACAUUAGCAAUGAGUAUUUCUUUCCAGUUCCAUGUAUGCCUUUCCUCAGCUGCCAAGAAAGCAGUAUUUUUGCAGACAGAUCAUUCAGGGACCCCAGUCACUGUUUCCUUCUGUGCCUGUUAGCUUUUGGAACUCUAUUCUGCUCAGUGCAGCUCUAUUAGGUGAUAGAGAUUUUUAUUUUUAUUUUUAAUGGGAUGCAGCUUACAUGUUGAACUUUCCCCUUUUUCAAGGAAAUCUUGCAUGAUAGCACUUGCUUCAUUACUACUUCUGUGAUUUCAAAUUAAUAACAGUGAUACAGUUGAGCAUUUCAGGGACUUGCAUACAGGGUGGACUGUCUAGCAUUAAUUUCUCUCUCCCCUGAACUGUGUCCUUGUGUGACAAUACAUCAGACAUGUAAUGAUAACCACCUGUAACAUUUAAAGGUGAAAUGGAGAUUAACAUAUGCAACUGAAGUUGCAGAGGGACUUUAAAAUGGCCUCUACUGUGUUAUCAGCUAUUAAACAUUUGUUCUGUUAACAUUAACAACAAUUUCCACUUAAUAAUCAGAGCGGAAUAAUAUGAUUCAGUUUAAUUACUGAGACUGGAAGUCAGUAAAGAGACUGGGAUUAGUAUAUGGUCUCUUGUGGAAAGUUAAGAUGAGAUGCUAACAAGCCAAGACAAUAUUGAUCAUUUUUAGUGUGGUUUUCUAAGAAUGUGAAACUUACUCUCUGUCCCUUGUCUCAGCUUCUGGCUGCCAGUCUCUCUUUCCUCCCUUUCCCCAUCCUCUGAAAUUAUUGGACAAUUGUAAACUGAUUUGAGAGAGCAUAGAGGCUGCAGGGGGAGAAGGGGGACAGGGACUGCAAUCAAUACUACUCCUCCCAGUUUGAUGCCAGUGUCAGUGACAGAUGCCCAGAGCUUGGACAAGGGUCACAGGUCAGCAGGAGAGCACCCGAAGAGCAGCACAAAGGAAUUCCAGCCAGUAAGUCAGCUUAUCAGGGGGCCAGCCUAAACGUCUCUGUGCUAACACACGUAGCAUGGGGAAUAAACAAGAGGAGUUAGAGAUGUACACAUGCCUGCGGGACUGUGACCUCCUUGGCAUUCUGGAGAUGUGGUGGGACAGAUGGCUCCCAUCACUGGAGUGUUGUAAUGGAAGGAUGCAGGCUUUUUAGGGAAGACAGGAUGAGGAGAUAAAGAGGGGAUAUUGCCCUCUAUGUCAGUGAGCAGCUGGAGUGCAUGGGGCUCUGCCUGGGGAUGAAUGAGGAGCUGACAAAGAGCUUGUGGCUGUGGAUUUAAGGCAGUGCAGAGACAGGUGACGUUAUAGUGUAAGUCUGCUACAGGCCACCUGAUCAGGAAGACCAGGCAGAUGAGGCCCUGUCCAUGAAAUGAUGCAAUUUUGGAUCCAGAGGACAGUGAAGAGGGAGCACAGCACGCUCACUACCCUGAACUUUGGAAGAGCAGACUGGCCUCUUCAGGGGUCUGGUUGUUAGAGUACCAUUAGGUUAGGCCCAUCUUCCUUGAG
Non-coding RNA from Anas platyrhynchos (mallard), 7056 nucleotides. Lineage: Eukaryota; Metazoa; Chordata; Aves; Anseriformes; Anatidae. The record is from RefSeq and is a predicted model, not a curated record.